CAAAUCAAAGAGAAACUCAACAAAAGCAGUGUUGCAGGCAACCCUGGGGCACCUACACUUGGAGAUUUCUGUAGGGACCUGGCAACCAUGGAAUGCUCCUACAAAGCUGCAAAGCCUUUCUGUGAGGAGCUGUUUUGACAAGAACCAAGAGCUAGAAGUUUCCCCCGCGAGUGUCAGAUAGGCCCUUUUGUAAGAUAUAAGCAACAGAAACGUUUAUAGGACCAGCUCUGCAAUAUCAAAAUGCCUGAGAAGACUAACUACUUGACUGGAAAACGAUUUGAGACAAGUUUUCUUUUUAAAAAAGUUCUUAGAAAUCUACAAGAUGACAGAGUGCACACAGAACAGGAAGAACAUCAGUGACUUCAGUCUCUGGCCUUCUAACCAAGAAAGGACUUGUGAAGGUGAAUGGUUUGCAGACGAAGGGGAUAUAAAAGAGACAAAACCAG
This is a long non-coding RNA of Passer domesticus (house sparrow), 446 nucleotides long. RefSeq lists it as uncharacterized. The record is from RefSeq and is a predicted model, not a curated record. NCBI's taxonomy places the organism in Eukaryota, Metazoa, Chordata, Aves, Passeriformes, Passeridae. The transcript is spliced from 3 exons.